AGCUCCAAUAGCGUAUAUUAAAGCUGUUGCGGUUAAAAAGCUCGUAGUUGGAUUUCUGUCAAGGACAACUGGUCCGCCCUCCGGGUGAGCACACAGCUUGGUCUUGGCAUCUUGCUGGAACCUGUGCUGUGCUUGGCUGUAUGGCACAGGGCUCAGCACUUUCACUUUGAGGAAAUUGGAGUGUUUCAAGCAGGCACAUGCCUUUGGACACAGUAGCAUGGAAUAAUUAGAUUGGGCCUUUGCUCCAUCUUGUCGGUUUAUGGAGCUGAGGUGAGAAUUAAUGGGGAUUGUUGGGGGCAUCCGUAUUUAGCCGUCAGAGGUGAAAUUCUUGGAUCUGCUAAAGACGGACGACUGCGAAAGCGUUUGCCCAGGAUGUUUUCAUUGAUCAAGAACGAAAGUA
This 400-nucleotide ribosomal RNA is filed under the name phytoplankton environmental sample. RNAcentral describes it as "partial small subunit ribosomal RNA". It matches the Rfam family "Eukaryotic small subunit ribosomal RNA", at positions 587 to 991 of the family's 1831-position model. The record is from RNAcentral.